Molecule: long non-coding RNA, 1671 nt
Organism: Pistacia vera
Lineage: Eukaryota; Viridiplantae; Streptophyta; Magnoliopsida; Sapindales; Anacardiaceae
Exons: 6
Source: RefSeq, a predicted model, not a curated record
UUGGGAUUUCGCGAGGAACACGUCGUUUGCUCCUAAUGGAAAAAAAGAAGAAAAAGAAAAUCAAACCAGAAACACCCGACGCUGCCUUCCUCUCAACUCUUCGGCGCCGACAAUCGCAUUCUCGACCUCCGCCGCCAUGGAUCAACGCACACAGAGAGUUUAAAUGACUUAAAGCAACUUAGUGUCCAUAAUAAUACAAAUGAUCCAGACAAAAUGGAUUUGAUGGAAGGAGAGGAAAAUGUGAAAUAUACUUUUUCAUCUCAUAUGGUUCACUUAUUCACACAUGAGAAGCAUAAAACCAAGAAGGAAGUCAAGGUGUUGAUACAUUUUUAUAUUAGGAAUAUCGGCUUGCAAAGUUUCUGCUUUCAUUUCUUGACUUUUCAGAGGAUCUUUAAUUGAUUAUUUCUCAUUUUUUUUUCUUAAUAGGCACAAAAAGCAAAACAUAAGGAAGAAAUUGAACAGUUGAUGGAAAAGUGGAUAAAAAUUUCUCUUCUUUAGUGCAAACUCAGGUUUUAUUGACAUUGACUGAAUCUAGCUAGAAGAAUUCCUUGAAGGCUCUUGUCAGCAAGGAUAUUCCUAAUGGACAUGUCAAAUUAGAUGGUGAAAAAAUGGACACUUUUUAGCAGGACAAACCUGAUUCUUAUGACAAACUUGUCGGAGAGCACUGGAGAUGCAUGCACAAACUUCAGACAAGACGAAGACAGAUGAAGAAAUUUUCCAAGAGGAUAGAGAACAACUAGAGCGAUUGGAGGUAAAGGAAACAGAGAAGAUAAAGUUGGACGAAGAAGGAACAGAGAAAUAUGGGUAGGCAAGAGCUUUUCUCCAAGAACAAUUGGGAACAGGCAGGAACAGAAGUAAAUGAAGUGGACAGCCAAAGAGACAAGAUGACAAGGUUGGAGUCUUCAGUUUUUGACUCUUUUAAACCUGGCUUUGAACUCGGAUUGGCGCGCUUGAUAGCAAUAGUCAAUCGAACCAUUUUCUAUGGGAAGUAACCAGGUCAUUGAACGGCCUUUUCCAGUGCAGUGUAAGCCUGAACCUUAUAGCUGUAGUUUAUUUUAGCGAGAGAUGCUGUGUCCUGUUCAUCAGAAAUUAGAUAAAUGUCAUCUCCUAAGUAGGCACGAGAAACAUUCGAAACAGAAUCAAGUGCAAGAGAGAUAUUGCCCCCUCCUAUGUUCACCCACUACAUUGUCUCUUAGGAUGCCGGAUGAGAGGAACUGGAACAAUUUCGAUCUCGUCAUAACGCAUUGGCACCUGGAACUGAAACAGGAAGAUUGAAAGAAAAUUUGAGGACAAAGAAUGCCUGCAUGAACCCCAAACUGAAACAAUUUUUACUUCCUUGAACUCAAAACUAUUCGUCAUUUUGAGAAUGCUAUAGAACAAUUUAGAUUGGAAGUAACCUGGUCCACUCAAAAUGGGCUGUAAUUGAAAUGGCAAAUGGGCUUGUGAAGUAAUCAAGGUUUUAAAACCUGACUUGGCUCGACUGGUUGGAUUGGUCCAAUUGGGAUCUAGUCACUUUGUUGGGUUUAGUCUCGUUGGUAUUUAAAACAUUUGGAUGUACAAUUCACUUUAUGUACAAUUAAAAUGUACGCUUGUGAAGUAACUCACUUUAUCCUCAAAUAAAGUUACUAAAUAUACACUUAAUUUAUUCUUCUUUAUAAUACACUUAAUUUA